CCAAUAGCGUAUAUUAAAGUUGUUGCAGUUAAAAAGCUCGUAGUUGAAUUUCGGGAUCAAUAUAUCGGUCGUGCCAUUGGUACGUACUGGUAUCAUUGGUUUCUCCUUUCUGACGAACCAUGAUGUCAUUAAUUUGGUGUUAUGGGAAGUUAGGACUGUUACUUUGAAAAAAUUAGAGUGUUUAAAGCAGGCUUUAGCUUGAAUACAUUAGCAUGGAAUAAUGAAAUAGGACGUUCGAACCUAUUUUGUUGGUUUCUAGGAUCAACGUAAUGAUUAAUAGGGAUAGUUGGGGGCAUUAGUAUUCAAUUGUCAGAGGUGAAAUUCUUGGAUUUAUUGAAGACUAACUACUGCGAAAGCAUUUGCCAAGGAUGUUUUCAUUAAUCAAGAACGAAAGUUAGGGGAUCGAAGACGAUCAGAUACCGUCGUAGUCUUAACCAUAAACUAUGCCGACUAGGGAUCGGAUGAUGUUAAUUUUUUAAUGACUCAUUCGGCGCCUUACG
RNAcentral lists this non-coding RNA (500 nucleotides) under uncultured Glomus. RNAcentral describes it as "SSU rRNA". It matches the Rfam family "Eukaryotic small subunit ribosomal RNA", at positions 591 to 1092 of the family's 1831-position model. RNAcentral also lists the same sequence under 1 other name. The record is from RNAcentral. Lineage: Eukaryota; Fungi; Glomeromycota; Glomeromycetes; Glomerales; Glomeraceae.